GAGGGUGUCGUUCAAAUGGUAGAGCACAUGGUUAGCAUGCGUGAGGUCCUGGGUUCAAUCCCCAGUACCUCUA
Molecule: transfer RNA, 73 nt
Filed under: Camelus bactrianus (Bactrian camel)
Lineage: Eukaryota; Metazoa; Chordata; Mammalia; Artiodactyla; Camelidae
Also listed under: 2 other names
Rfam family: tRNA
About the family: Transfer RNA (tRNA) molecules are approximately 80 nucleotides in length.
Source: Rfam by way of RNAcentral